GGCUUAGGUCAAAAUCUAAAAGCAAAGAAAAAUUGUAAAAGGUUUAUAAAGAAAAAUCUUAAAAAAAUUUUUUUAUAUCUGGUCAGGAGGUCUAAAGUUAAACCAUUAACUUGUGCUAAAUUAUCCACUAUCCUACAGACACAAAAUAAAAGCCCGGUGGCCUUCCUGGAAAGGUUAAGGGAGGCUCUCAUUCAAUAUAUGGCUAUUUCCCCUAACACUCCUGAGGCUGAGAUGAUUCUAAAAGACAAAUUUGUCACUCAAUCGGCCCCAGGUAUUAGGAGAAAACUGUAAAAACUGGCUGUUGGUCCAGAAGGGACCCUGGAGGAGCUCUUAUGAGCUGCCAACUGGGUAUAUUGCAACCAAGAUGAAGAGGAGAAUAAAAAAAAAAAAAAAAAGAAAAAAGAAGAGAAAAGAAAAGGAGGCUUAAAAACAAAACAAAACAAUCUGAGGCCUUAGUUGUGGCCUUAUGUACUAUGUCAGACCGGACUUCCCGAGGUCCCGGCACCAAGUGCCAUUUAUAUGGCCGUUUAGAGCACUAAAAUGAGAACGUCCUCAGAGGGGACAACAGAAAUGAAAACCCCAUAAGCCAGGCCCCUUGCGUGGAGACAACCACCGGAGAUCUGAAUCCGCUCGGGGACCUGUAUCUGUGAGGCUCAGAUAACCGUGUCCCUGCAAGGGACUGACGGGGCCUGGGGCUCUUCACCGAGGCUCCCCUAAACCAACUGUCUGUCAGAAACCCAGAGCCUCGGGUAACUCCAAAUAUAGAACGAAAACUGGUUGAUUUCCUUCUUGACACCUGAGCUACCUUUUCUGUCCUCCUUUCCACUCCAGGCCAACUAUCCAAACGCAGUAUGACGAUUAGAGGCAUCUCCAGAAAACUUCUUAACUAAAGUUUUCUCUCAGCCCCUGGGAUGCAUGUGGGAAAAACUAAUUUUUUUCUCAUUUUUUUCUGGAUGAUACCGGAGAGCCUUACUCCCUUGUAGGAAGGGACAUUAUAACUAAAUUAGAGACUAUAAUACGAGUAACUCCAGAACAAAUAAUUGUAUGAAUUUUGGGAAAUUAUUGGAUAUUGUAGGCUGUAGAUACCAGGGUUCAGGGAAAUGGUUUGCCUGCUAUAUCAAUUAUUAAAGGAGACUCAAUCCCACCUACUCUCCAAAAAACAAACAAACAAACCAGGGUCUGACUCCUAGGCACUGUCUCCAGCCCUUGGAAUGGUUAUAAACAGAGCAGGGCAAUUACUAUUACCAAGCUCACAGGGCUAAAAGAUCAUUAAAACACAGCAUCAGGCCUUUCAUUUAGGGAAGGACAAGAUUUAUCGAAUGGCCCAAAGGAUGUUUACUGGAAAAAAUUUGUCAAGGACAGUUCUGCAAGUAGUGUCAGCCUGUGAAGUAUAUCUUGGAAACAGUCCUCUCAACAAACUCUCUCUCCCAGGCAGUCAAAGAACUGGAGGCUAAUCCCCGGAAGACUGACAAUUAGGUUUCACUCAUAUGCCAAGGUCGAAGGAAUGCCAACAUCUGUUGGUAUGGGUUGAUACUUUUACUAAUUGAGUAAAGGCCUUCUUCUACAAGACAGAAAAGGCACAAGAGGUAAUAAAAGUUCUGCUUUAUAAAAUUAUACCUAGGUAUGGCUUACCUAAAAAUUUGCAAAUUAAUAAUGGUAAAUGGCUGCUUUGACUCUUUCUCUAGUAGAACUCCUGGCUCUUAGAAGAGUUUUACACCUCAAAAUAAAGCAAACCGUCUGCUGAUGCUCAGCAAAACUCUAAAUAACACCUCACAAGCAUUAGAUGUUUAAAAAAAAUGUUUUUUAAAUUAAUCUAGGGCCGAACUCUUGGAAACAGAGCCACCAUUGGUUACGCACUGCUCCUGUUCCUCCAUCACCUGAGUUAUGAGAGAUCCCCUGACAAAGUCAGGGUCUCUCCUAGGUUGUUUGACGGGUUUGGGAACUAAGGACAUUAUCUUAAGACGCCAUCUUGUUGGUCAGUAUAAUCAUUACUUUGUGUUUUUCUCUGUGUGUCUGCUGAUGUUAAUACCACCUCCUGCCUGCCAGCCUUCCUGUAGAAACAUGCUGUGGGCCACUCGACUGACCCGUGGGUGGACUCUAACUGCUGUACCCCUCCCUACACCGCCCCCUGUCAGCUUGAAGAAGCCACAACGGUCAUCGUCCCUGUUCCCUGACAGCAGUUAUAGGCCCUGUUCCAGGGGUGGAUAAACAGGGAAAGGGUUAACAUGAGGCAGGGAGAGAUAAGGGACCGCAGCUGCAGGUGGGAGGCUGAAGAAGCAGACGGGCUUCUCCUCAUAUAGGAUCUUUGACGGGCACCUUCCCCCCCCAUUAUCAAGGGCAUAAGGGGGAGGAUCUAAAUGUGAUGGACAACCUAACCCUAAGACAACAGAUGCGGGCCCUGGGCUCUACCCUAACCACUUUACACCACUGGGUCAGGGAGCGAUUACCUGUGAGUCUGACCACAGAUGCUCACCCCUUUAAACCAGGAGAUGCAAUAUGGAAAAAGGAGUGAAAUGUCCAACCCCUAAAACCCCUCUGGAGGGCCCGUUCACUGUCAUUUUGUCCACCCCUCUUGCAGUAAAGGUGGCCAAAGUGUGUCCCUGGAUUCACUACAGCAGAGUGAAGCCGGCAUCUCGAAACUGGGCAUGCAUUCCUGACCCAUCAAUGCUGUGCAAGCUGACCAUACGGAAGAUUCUGCAACUCCAGAGGCUCCGGGAGACUGCAGCCCUGCUUUAGUCACUCCGGAAGCUGCCUGAUCUAUGCACAGCAGAAGGCUGAGGAACCGACCGUCUGGGGAAGUGGAUUCUGCUGUUCUGGGACCAUGCUUUGUGUUUCUGGGACCACCUUUGUUCCAGACAAACCUAAGAUCUUUACACAUGAGAUGAAGCGAUAUUAUUGGAGCUCGUCCGAGAAUGAAAGGAAACAUUGGGAAGUGCUUUGCAUAGUAUCUGCUACACAGGCAUCCCUUCACAUCCCGGAGCUUCAUGGCCUGUUACAAGGCAGAGUGAGGCGUCAGAGCUGCUGUGGGAACUAAAGUAGCGGUGUGGCCACGGGGCUGUUCGAACAUCUGACGGAUGCUGUUGUGUCUCCACGUGUUUUCAACGCUGUUGUUCUGUCAAUACCACGUCAUACUCAUUCAACAUGUGAUCUACUGGGUAUUUUAUUUCAUGUCGCGAGGUUAUUUUGAGACUUUAAGAAAAGGAAAUUUAGAGUCAACAUAAAGAUACCUUGUCUGAACAUGUCAUUUUUGCUUUUUUACUAGCACCGCAGAAAACCUAUUAACACCAUAGAAAAAGAAAACAAACUUGACCAAAAAGUCCAAGCCGUGCUGGCUUCUGUAUUUGAAGUUUUGUUCUUUAUUUUUCCACUUGACCGGCAUGUCUAUUUUGCCUCCCUUCCUUUUCCCUUCUGCGGGCAAAAGAACACUUAUUUGUCUUUCCAUUUAUAGGGCAUUUCCUUUAUGAAGCCCCUAUUGACGCACCUGCCACCAAGUAAACUUGAUCACUCCCUGUUUUUGUGGCCCCGCUGCUCCCUGAAAGCUUCUACCGCGGUUAACAAUGUCUUCCCUGACAAAACGAAAAUCAGACAAACUAAACCCAAGAAGUGUCUUACUCCAGUCACAAUCCCAUGGAAGCAUACUUUUUCUGAGUAACCUAGAUUGGUCUUGGCAGGUCAUGGAAGAUACUUAAUGGAAAAGUGGGUCCACAAAGAGCACUUCGUGAUUUGGUAUCAUUACUUGUGCUUAAAAUGCUAUUGGCUCACUCACUGCCUUCUACAUCCUACUCAGCCUUUUUCAUUUGCCUUAAAAGCCAUCUUUUCCGAGAAACUCUCCUUGAUCACUCCCAUCUGUAUGAAUUGCAUCUUCCUUGCAUGUAAUGGUGUUUGCAUUUCUAUUAAAUAUAUCGCCUUUA
Long non-coding RNA from Felis catus (domestic cat), 3911 nucleotides. RefSeq lists it as uncharacterized. The record is from RefSeq and is a predicted model, not a curated record. NCBI's taxonomy places the organism in Eukaryota, Metazoa, Chordata, Mammalia, Carnivora, Felidae. The transcript has 5 exons.